GAUGAACGCUAGCGGGAGGCUUAACACAUGCAAGUCGAGGGGCAGCAUAGGGUAGCAAUACUCUGAUGGCGACCGGCAAACGGGUGAGUAACGCGUAUGCAACCUACCCUGUACAGGGGGAUAACCCGGAGAAAUUCGGACUAAUAUCCCGUAAUAAUAUCCGGAGGCAUCUUUGGAUAUUUAAAGUUCCGACGGUACGGGAUGGGCAUGCGUAACAUUAACUGGUUGGUAAGGUAACGGCUUACCAAGGCUAUGAUGUUUAGGGGUCCUGAGAGGGUGGUCCCCCACACUGGUACUGAGACACGGACCAGACUCCUACGGGAGGCAGCAGUGAGGAAUAUUGGUCAAUGGGCGCAAGCCUGAACCAGCCAUCCCGCGUGCAGGAAGACGGCCCUAUGGGUUGUAAACUGCUUUUCCAGGGAGAGAAACUUACGCACGUGUUGCGUGACUGACGGUACCCUGGGAAUAAGCAUCGGCUAACUCCGUGCCAGCAGCCGCGGUAAACACUA
Molecule: ribosomal RNA, 509 nt
Filed under: uncultured bacterium
Lineage: Bacteria
Description: bacterial SSU rRNA
Rfam family: Bacterial small subunit ribosomal RNA
Source: RNAcentral